Long non-coding RNA from Oncorhynchus keta (chum salmon), 1160 nucleotides. RefSeq lists it as uncharacterized. The transcript is spliced from 3 exons. Lineage: Eukaryota; Metazoa; Chordata; Actinopteri; Salmoniformes; Salmonidae. The record is from RefSeq and is a predicted model, not a curated record.
AAAUAUGGCGACAAGGCAAAUCAAAAAGCACCACAAAAUUAACCAACCACAGCCAACCACAAAGGAACACGACCACAACCACACCGACCAGAGAGAAAGAGAGAGGAGAUAGAGAGAGGAGAUAGAGAGAGGAGAUAGAGAGAGGAGAUAGAGACAAACAGACACAGAGCAAGACGGACAGAGAGAUCAAGAGAGAGGAAGAGGGGAGAUAGAUAUAGUUAGUUAGUUAGAUAGAUAGAUAGAUAGAUAGAUAGAUAGAUAGAUAGAUAGAUAGAUAGAUAGACCGAGAUAAAGAGAGAGGAGGAGGGGGAUAGAUAUAGGUAGAUAGAUAGACAGAGAUAAAGAGAGAGGAGUAGGGGGAUAGAUAUAGGUAGAUAGAUAGACAGAGAUAAAGAGAGAGGAGUAGGGGGAUAGAUAUAGGUAGAUAGAUAGACAGAGAUAAAGAGAGAGGAGUAGGGGGAUAGAUAUAGGUAGAUAGAUAGACAGAGAUAAAGAGAGAGGAGUAGGGGGAUAGAUAUAGGUAGAUAGAUAGACAGAGAUAAAGAGAGAGGAGUAGGGGGAUAGAUAAAGGUAGAUAGACAUAGAUAAAGGUAGAUAGACAGAGAUGAAGAGAGAGGAGUAGGGGGAUAGAUAUAGGUAGAUAGACAUAGAUACAGGUAGAUAGACAGCGAUAAAGAGAGAGGAGUAGGGGGAUAGAUACAGGUAGAUAGACAUAGAUACAGAGAGAGGAGUAGGGGGAUAGAUAUAGGUAGAUAGACAUAGAUACAGGUAGAUAGACAGAGAUAAAGAGAGAGGAGUAGGGGGAUAGAUAUAGGUAGAUAGAUAGACAGAGAUAAAGAGAGAGGAGUAGGGGGAUAGAUAUAGGUAGAUAGAUAGACAGAGAUAAAGAGAGAGGAGUAGGGGGAUAGAUAUAGGUAGAUAGAUAGACAGAGAUAAAGAGAGAGGAGUAGGGGGAUAGAUAUAGGUAGAUAGAUAGACAGAGAUAAAGAGAGAGGAGUAGGGGGAUAGAUAUAGGUAGAUAGAUAGACAGAGAUAAAGAGAGAGGAUUAGGGGGAUAUAGAUAUAGGUAGAUAGAUAGACAGAGAUAAAGAGUGAGGAGUAGGGGGAUAGAUAUAGGUAGAUAGACAUAGAUAAAGAGAGAGGAGUAGGGGGAUAGAUAU